Molecule: small RNA, 131 nt
Filed under: Salmonella enterica subsp. enterica serovar Infantis
Lineage: Bacteria; Pseudomonadati; Pseudomonadota; Gammaproteobacteria; Enterobacterales; Enterobacteriaceae
Also listed under: 39 other names
Description: RtT sRNA
Rfam family: RtT RNA
About the family: This family represents a bacterial cis-regulatory element known as RtT RNA. The exact function of RtT is unknown although it is thought that it may be involved in changing the cellular response in relation to amino acid starvation.
Source: RNAcentral
AUAUCUCUCUGUACGGGAAGGAUGAGAAGCUUCGACUAAGGUUCGAUUCGAGCGCAGCGAGAAAGCGUUGCCGUAGGCAACGACCCGAAGGGCGAAGCGCGCAGCGCUGAGUAAUCCUUCCCCCACCACCA